Molecule: ribosomal RNA, 258 nt
Filed under: uncultured bacterium
Lineage: Bacteria
Description: partial 16S ribosomal RNA
Rfam family: Bacterial small subunit ribosomal RNA
Source: RNAcentral
UACGUAAGGAGCGAGCGUUGUCCGGAUUCAUUGGGCGUAAAGAGCUCGUAGGCGGCUUGAUUAGUCGGAUGUGAAACCUCCAGGCUCAACCUGGAGUCGCCAUCCGAUACUGUCAUGGCUAGAGUCCGGUAGGGGCCCACGGAAUUCCUGGUGUAGCGGUGAAAUGCGCAGAUAUCAGGAGGAACGACCGGUGGGCGGAAGGCGGUGGGCUGGGCCGGCACUGACGCUGGAGGAGCGAAAGCGUGGGGAGCGAACAGG